This is a long non-coding RNA of Magnolia sinica, 1284 nucleotides long. RefSeq lists it as uncharacterized. Lineage: Eukaryota; Viridiplantae; Streptophyta; Magnoliopsida; Magnoliales; Magnoliaceae. The record is from RefSeq and is a predicted model, not a curated record. The transcript is spliced from 3 exons.
UUCAGGGGUGCACUCCUGCUGAAUUUUGGGGCAACUUAUAUGGAAUGCCAAUCCUAAUAAAAACACGACUAAUCUAGAACACUUGCUGUAUAUUCCAUGUCACUUCUUAUCUAAAUAAAGUAUUAUUUCUGAUCCUGUGAAAUUCCUGCUUGAAUUCAUCUUUUGUUGCAAACUUCUUUAGAAAGUAGAAAUCAACUAUCGUUUCUAACUUUUGAUGCAUUGAUGAUCUAAAAAAAUAUGUUUUUUUUUUUUUUCUAAUUUUUUAUUUUUAUGGGAUAUGAUUGUAGGAUGUGCAUUUCCAAUAUAUAAACUGUAAGUUGCAGCUAUCUUUGUGUUAUCUACUAAAAAAUUUCAGCAAAAUUUUAUUUUGUCAUCCAUAGAUUUUUCUCCUCCUCCAAGUCAAUCCAUUGGUCAUAGGGAAAUCAACUUGGACAAGUAAAAUUUCUAAUUUCUCCAAUUUUAAGUGAUUCUUUUUAUAUUAUUUUGAUUUGGGUCAUUGUCUAUUUUGAAUUUCUCAUUUGGGUUUUUUUCAUUUUACUUGAUUUUUUUUUUUCAGUUCAUGCAUUAAUUGCUGGUUGUUGGAUUUUAUCAUUUUACUUGGAUGGUUUAUUAUUAUUUUGAUGUGAAUGUUUGGAUGUGUUGUCAAAACAAAUUGCAAUUAUUUGUACUUAUAAACUGAAAUGACCAAAUUGUAAUUUCAUUGCUUCUAAAUAUACACUUCAAGUCAUGAUGUAUUGUUUGGGUGUUGAUUAUGUCAGAAAAAUGAAUUUAAAACAUUGACUUUUGUUUUCUUAAAUUGCAGAUUUAGUUGCAUAAGCAGGCAAUAUAAGUACCUUUUCUGGAAAGAAAAUCUGCAUGUAUCGGUAUGCAAUGGAUAAAUCUGGAUAUAUCUUCCAAACAAACUCACAUGAAUACGAGGAAACUAUGAACAAACCCACCAUAUCCUGAAACGUCACAAAGGAAGAUGGACCUGUAAGCAUGAUUUUCACCAUACUAAUGUAUAAUGCUUCAAAGCUUCAGGAUUUUAAUCAAUUGUGCCUAAAUUUAGGCUUACACUUCAGCCUUUUGACGCCACUUUUGCUAGGAGUAUGCCAUAUAGAGGAUUUAUUUAUAAUUCAAGACCAUUUUCAAUUUAUUGUAAUAAAUAUUAUAUUUUUUUAUUGUGUAGUAAUAUAAAUUCUGUUUAAUAUUCAGUUUUAAUUAUAUUGCAACAUUUUUUGUUUCAAAUAUUAAAAAAAUGCAGGUUUCAAUAGAAUUAUAUAUAAUUAAAAAAAAUUACUGGAC